GGCGUGGAGGGCGUUGCCGGGGGAGGCGUGGAGGGAGUUGCCGGCGGCGGCGGAGACGUGGAGGGGGUGGCGGGCGCUGGGGCGGGAGGUGAGGUGGUGGUGGAUGGGGGAGAGGCGGAGGGAGUCGCCGGAGAUGGGGCAGUAGGUGACAGUGGCGAUGGUGGCGAAGUCGGCCCCGGUGCGGCCACUGGAGUGGGCGAGGACAUCUCUC
RNAcentral lists this unclassified non-coding RNA (211 nucleotides) under Hevea brasiliensis (rubber tree). Lineage: Eukaryota; Viridiplantae; Streptophyta; Magnoliopsida; Malpighiales; Euphorbiaceae. The record is from RNAcentral.